GGGAGGCAGCAGUGGGGAAUUUUCCGCAAUGGGCGAAAGCCUGACGGAGCAAUGCCGCGUGAAUGAUGACGGUCUUCGGAUCGUAAAGUUCUGUUCUCUGGGAAGAAGAUCUGACGGUACCAGAGGAGAAAGCCCCGGCUAACUACGUGCCAGCAGCCGCGGUAAUACGUAGGGGGCAAGCGUUAUCCGGAUUUAUUGGGCGUAAAGCGCGCGCAGGCGGUUCAUUAAGUUAGGUGUUCAAGGCAACGGCUCAACCGUUGUACGCACCUAAAACUGGUGGGCUUGAGUGCAGAAGAGGAGAGUGGAAUUCCUGGUGUAGCGGUGGAAUGCGUAGAUAUCAGGAGGAACACCAGUGGCGAAGGCGACUCUCUGGUCUGUAACUGACGCUGAGGCGCGAAAGCGUGGGGAGCAAACAGGAUUAGAUACCCGUGUAGUCCC
This 438-nucleotide ribosomal RNA is filed under the name uncultured bacterium. Its description in RNAcentral is "bacterial SSU rRNA". It matches the Rfam family "Bacterial small subunit ribosomal RNA", at positions 343 to 797 of the family's 1533-position model. The record is from RNAcentral.